GAUUUCUUCACACAGACUCACAUGAAAUUUGGUGCCAUGACUCGGAUCGGGGGACCUCCCUUGGGAGAUCAAUCCCCUGUCCUCCUGUUCUUUGCUCCGUGAAAAAGAUCCACCUACGACCUCAGGUCCUCAGACCCACCAGCCCAAGGAACAUCUCACCAAUUUUAAAUCAGGUACACACCCAGAUGGCUGGUUCCUGCCUUAACUGAUGACAUUCCACCA
Molecule: long non-coding RNA, 222 nt
Filed under: Homo sapiens (human)
Lineage: Eukaryota; Metazoa; Chordata; Mammalia; Primates; Hominidae
Description: HSALNT0316120
Source: RNAcentral